RNAcentral lists this ribosomal RNA (506 nucleotides) under uncultured bacterium. Its description in RNAcentral is "bacterial SSU rRNA". It matches the Rfam family "Bacterial small subunit ribosomal RNA", at positions 9 to 526 of the family's 1533-position model. The record is from RNAcentral.
GAGUUUGAUCCUGGCUCAGGACGAACGCUGGCGGCGUGCCUAACACAUGCAAGUCGAACGGAGUUGAAAGGAGCUUGCUUUUUUCAACUCAGUGGCGGACGGGUGAGUAACGCGUGGGCAACCUGCCUCAUAGAGGGGAAUAGCCUUCCGAAAGGGAGAUUAAUACCGCAUAAGAUUGUAGUACCGCAUGAUACAGCAAUUAAAGGAGCAAUCCGCUGAAAGAUGGACUCGCGUCCCAUUAGAUAGUUGGCGGGGUAACGGCCCACCAAGUCGACGAUCGGUAGCCGGCCUGAGAGGUUGAUCGGCCACAUUGGGACUGAGACACGGCCCAGACUCCUACGGGAGGCAGCAGUGGGGGAUAUUGCACAAUGGGGGAAACCCUGAUGCAGCGACGCCGCGUGGAGGAAGAAGGUUUUCGGAUUGUAAACUCCUGUCGUCGAGGAAGAUAAUGACGGUACUCAACAAGGAAGUCACGGCUAACUACGUGCCAGCCGCCGCGGUAAUAC